UACGUAGGGUGCGAGCGUUAAUCGGAAUUACUGGGCGUAAAGCGUGCGCAGGCGGUUUUGUAAGUCUGACGUGAAAUCCCCCGGGCUUAACCUGGGAAUUGCGUUGGAGACUGCAAGGCUGGAGUCUGGCAGAGGGGGGUAGAAUUCCACGUGUAGCAGUGAAAUGCGUAGAGAUGUGGAGGAACACCGAUGGCGAAGGCAGCCCCCUGGGUCAAGACUGACGCUCAUGCACGAAAGCGUGGGGAGCAAACAGG
Molecule: ribosomal RNA, 254 nt
Filed under: uncultured bacterium
Lineage: Bacteria
Description: partial 16S ribosomal RNA
Rfam family: Bacterial small subunit ribosomal RNA
Source: RNAcentral